RNAcentral lists this ribosomal RNA (468 nucleotides) under uncultured bacterium. RNAcentral's name for it is "bacterial SSU rRNA". It matches the Rfam family "Bacterial small subunit ribosomal RNA", at positions 29 to 506 of the family's 1533-position model. The record is from RNAcentral.
ACGAACGCUGGCGGCAUGGAUUAGGCAUGCAAGUCGAACGGUUAUCCGAUUGUAGCAAUACGAACGGAUGAUAGUGGCGGAAGGGUGAGUAACGCGUGAGUAACCUACCCUCUAGUUGGGAAUAACUCCACGAAAGCGGAGCUAAUACCGAAUGUGUUCCUCCGGUCGCAUGUCCGGAUGAAUAAAGAUUUUAUCGCUAGAGGCUGGGCUCGCGUCCCAUUAGCUUGUUGGCAGGGUAACGGCCUACCAAGGCGAUGAUGGGUAGCUGGUCUGAGAGGAUGACCAGCCACACUGGGACUGAGACACUGCCCAGACUCCUACGGGAGGCUGCAGUCGAGAAUCUUCCGCAAUGCGCGAAAGCGUGACGGAGCGAUGCCGCGUGCAGGAUGAAGGCCUUCGGGUCGUAAACUGCUGUCACUGGGGACGAAUUUUGACGGUACCCAGAGAGGAAGCCACGGCUAACUACGU